AUUGAACGCUGGCGGCAGGCCUAACACAUGCAAGUCGAGCGGAUGAAGGGAGCUUGCUCCUGGAUUCAGCGGCGGACGGGUGAGUAAUGCCUAGGAAUCUGCCUGGUAGUGGGGGAUAACGUCCGGAAACGGGCGCUAAUACCGCAUACGUCCUGAGGGAGAAAGUGGGGGAUCUUCGGACCUCACGCUAUCAGAUGAGCCUAGGUCCGAUUAGCUAGUUGGUGGGGUAAAGGCCUACCAAGGCGACCAUCCGUAACUGGUCUGAGAGGGUGAUCAGUCACACUGGAAGUGAGAAACGGCACAGAGACUUAGGGAAGGCAGAGGUGGGGAAGAUAGGAAAAGGGGGGAAAGAUUGAUCAAGCCAUGCAGGGUUGGUGAAGAAGGUCUUCGGAUUGUAAAGAAGUUUAAGUGGGGAGAAAGGCCAUUAGGUGAAAACCUGCCUGUUUGAAGGUAACAAAAAAAGAAGCAACGGCUAAAUUCGUG
Molecule: ribosomal RNA, 483 nt
Filed under: uncultured bacterium
Lineage: Bacteria
Description: partial 16S ribosomal RNA
Rfam family: Bacterial small subunit ribosomal RNA
Source: RNAcentral